This is a non-coding RNA of Bartonella taylorii 8TBB, 161 nucleotides long. Lineage: Bacteria; Pseudomonadati; Pseudomonadota; Alphaproteobacteria; Hyphomicrobiales; Bartonellaceae. The record is from Rfam.
GGUGUUCUGCGCUUCUCGACAGGAAAUAACGCAUUCCUGAGACCUUAGUGAUCUCCAAGGGAGCUGUCCCUGAUAAGGCCCGUGGGCUUUUUCAUAUGGCGCCCACCUAUUUAUGUAGGUUCUUGGGAUCAACUUUUUCCAUCGGCUGUUGUGGAUCACCU